AUGGCGCCCGGGGACGUGGAUCCCUCGCCAGGGGGAGCCAGCGGUUCCCGGCCGGGGCUGGGAGGAAGCGGCGACGACGUCGUCAUCUUGGGGGAGGCGCCGGGGCCGACUCCUCCGACUAGGGCGACCCAAGGCCGCCAGCCUGAGCCUGCGCCCGCACAGUCGGCGGAGGGCGAGCCGGCCGCGGGGGCUGAGGUGGCGGUCCGGGUUCCGCCAAGCUGGCGUGCAGGGAAGGCCGCGUCUGAACCGCAAAAGGCUGUGUCGGAGCCACAGCCGGCCGUGGGCUCCAGCUCGUCGGCCCCAGACGCGGAGGCGGCCAGCGCUACCUCGGGGUGGACGUCGGGCGGAGGGACUGCCGUGGUGAACGUCGCUGCACAAGACGUCCGGACCCGGCUGCAAAGCCAAGCCGCGGCGCUGAGGCAGUUCACCGACGAAUUCCUCGCCACGCGGGCAGCCAUCCGGGACUACCACAACCUCCGAGCGGCCGCCUUCAACUCCCAGGCUCGGGAGCUGACUCAGAAGACCGCCGAUCUCACUGAAAGCCGAGCGGCCAACGCCAGUCUGAGGGCACAGCUAGGGGAAUCCCAGACUGCUCUUCGUGCCAAGGACGCAGAGCUCGCCGCCUUGGUGCAGGAGCGCGACCGCCUGGUCAAGAAACUGGCCGACCAGGAGGAAGGCCACAAGGCUGCGCUGAAAGCUGCGCUGGAUCGUGAAGCCACCCUCCAGGCCGAGUUAGAGACGGAGGCGGCCGGCUGGGCGGAGGCCAGGCAGACUCUGGUCUCCGGCUAUGGUCAGAUUGAGGACCUGGUGCAGAGUACUUCCCUGGCUACUCAACUGCUGCCAACCAGGCCAUCGAAGCCCGUCGCCAGGCGAAGAGGCAAGCCGGCUUCGAGAUCUCGCCAACCGCCGGCCGCUCGCUGGAAGAACAGCUCCUGGCGAUCCAGGCUCACAUCCAGCCGGCUCACAGGCUGCUCCACCGGCUUCAGCGCGCGGGAUCGCAAGUCUUGGCCGCCCUCUGGCCCGGCCAAGUGGUCCCUCGCACCCCCAGUCGGACCGCCGACUGGCUGGAGGUGGCGGUCGGCCGCUUCGAGGCUUGGAAGGCGUCAGCAGCUUGCUCCGAUGCCAGGCGGGCGCUGGAGUUCGUCAAGGCCUGGUAUCCCGGCCUGA
RNAcentral lists this ribosomal RNA (1167 nucleotides) under Triticum aestivum (bread wheat). RNAcentral's name for it is "partial small subunit ribosomal RNA". Lineage: Eukaryota; Viridiplantae; Streptophyta; Magnoliopsida; Poales; Poaceae. The record is from RNAcentral.